GUCCUAGCCGUAAACGAUGGGCACUUGGUAAGGGGAUUCCUAUGGUCCUCCUUGCCGUAGCUAAUGUGUUAAGUGCCCCGCCUGGGGAGUACGCUCGCAAGGGUAAACUCAAAGGAAUUGACGGGGCUCACACAAGCGGUGGAGCAUGUGGUUCAAUUCGAAGCAACGCGAAGAACCUUACCUGGGCUUGACAUGCACGGAUUAGUUCUAUGAAAGUAGGGCAACAGCCCUUCGGGGUCGGAACGUGCACAGGUGUUGCAUGGCUGUCGU
Molecule: ribosomal RNA, 270 nt
Filed under: uncultured bacterium
Lineage: Bacteria
Description: partial 16S ribosomal RNA
Rfam family: Bacterial small subunit ribosomal RNA
Source: RNAcentral